CCUACGGGUGGCAGCAGUGAGGAAUAUUGGUCAAUGGGCGGGAGCCUGAACCAGCAAAGCCGCGUGAGGGAAGAAGGUACAGCGUAUCGUAAACCUCUUUUGUCAGGGCACAAAGACUGAGACUACUCGCCGGAUGAGCGUACCUGAAGAACAAGCAUCGGCUAACUCCGUGCCAGCAGCCGCGGUAAUCCGGAGGAUGCGAGCGUUAUCCGGAUUUAUUGGGUUUAAGGGGUGCGCAGGGGGCCGGUUAAGUCAGCGGUAAAAGCCCGGGGCUCAACCCGGGCGAGCCGUUGAAACUGGCGGGCUGGAGUUGGAGAGAAGUACGCGGAAUGCGCGGUGUAGCGGUGAAAUGCUUAGAUAUCGCGCAGAACCCCGAUUGCGAAGGCAGCUUACCGGAUACACACUGACGCUGAGGCACGAAAGCGUGGGUAUCGAACAGGAUUAGAUACCCGUGUAGUC
Molecule: ribosomal RNA, 459 nt
Filed under: uncultured bacterium
Lineage: Bacteria
Description: partial 16S ribosomal RNA
Rfam family: Bacterial small subunit ribosomal RNA
Source: RNAcentral